UUACCCCUGCAAUGUGCGUGAUUGUAUGACAGUCUUUGUCCUAACGCAUAGUAAAAAGGGAGUCCACACUUAUACUGGUGUGCUAAGUUCCUAGUAAGUAAAGGAAAAGCCUAAAGGUAUUAUUGGACAACCCACCUUUUGAACCUUUGGUUCAAAGCCUUAACAAGCAACACGGCAGUUUGUGGGGGUAAC
Molecule: non-coding RNA, 192 nt
Filed under: Pseudomonadota bacterium
Lineage: Bacteria; Pseudomonadati; Pseudomonadota
Description: Proteobacteria bacterium (groundwater metagenome) 6S RNA
Rfam family: 6S / SsrS RNA
About the family: E. coli 6S RNA was the first non coding RNA to be sequenced, but its function was unknown until recently. It consists of 184 nucleotides that fold into an extended hairpin structure with a large single-stranded internal bulge.
Source: RNAcentral